Molecule: ribosomal RNA, 253 nt
Filed under: uncultured bacterium
Lineage: Bacteria
Description: partial 16S ribosomal RNA
Rfam family: Bacterial small subunit ribosomal RNA
Source: RNAcentral
UACGAAGGGGGCUAGCGUUGUUCGGAAUCACUGGGCGUAAAGCGCAUGCAGGCGGAUUGUUAAGUCGGGGGUGAAAUCCCGAGGCUCAACCUCGGAACUGCCUUCGAUACUGGCAAUCUUGAGUCCGGGAGAGGUGAGUGGAACUGCGAGUGUAGAGGUGAAAUUCGUAGAUAUUCGCAAGAACACCAGUGGCGAAGGCGGCUCACUGGCCCGGUACUGACGCUGAGGUGCGAAAGCGUGGGGAGCGAACAGG